Molecule: long non-coding RNA, 797 nt
Filed under: Taeniopygia guttata (zebra finch)
Lineage: Eukaryota; Metazoa; Chordata; Aves; Passeriformes; Estrildidae
Description: lncRNA (ENSTGUG00000028018.1)
Source: RNAcentral
UGCAAAUGCUACUGCAGAAGUAACAAAGAGAAGAAUCCUGUAUGAUUGCACGUGUAUGAAUUAAUUUUAGUAUAGUCUCUAAAUAUUUAUAUGCAGGCAAAACUAGUUUGUGUCUCAUAGCAUUUAUAGGGAUGUUUAUUGACCAAAGUGUCAUAGUAGAGAGGCUGCUUGCAAUAUUCUGGUGUAGCAACAUGAAGUUUGUGGGAAAUGAAAGGCCAGAGUAUCCACAACUAUUGAUCAUUGUGGAGUUCUUGGGACUCCUCGUCUUGCAGGACUGAGUCUCAAAGUAAUAAAAUAAUAAGGAAUCACUACUAAAAGUUCAGUUGCAAUACCAGUCUUUGUCAUAAUCAUUUAAGGGUGCAUUAAGUAUUAAGGAAAGGGUUAAGUCAUUAUUACAAAUGAUGGUGCAAACAUUCUGAUGAACUUUGUGUUCUGUUUUAUUUUAAGGUUUUGAAUUAACCAUCAUGCCUCUAGUGUCUCUUUCUUGGGUGCAGGAAUUUCUGCUGGAAUGGAGAGAGAAACGUUUGUGUAAGAACCUGUCACAAAGACAAAUGGGCUUAAGAGAAGGAGCAGUGGUCUUUUAUAUACCAACAAUUUCUGAAGAAUCUUAAACCACAGACAUGAACUGUGAAAAAUUAUACAACCUAAGAAGAGACUCAUGUAGUUUGAAGUUCGCAAAGACAGCAAUCAACAGAACAGCAGAAUUACAGAUGAAGAACUGUUCUGUGGUGAGUAAACUGAAGCUUUCAUACUUUGGGCUUCUUGAGUGAAGAUUGUGCGGCACAUACUCUCAAAUA